RNAcentral lists this ribosomal RNA (1067 nucleotides) under Ammonia sp. 476. RNAcentral describes it as "SSU rRNA". It matches the Rfam family "Eukaryotic small subunit ribosomal RNA". The record is from RNAcentral. Lineage: Eukaryota; Foraminifera; Rotaliida; Rotaliidae.
AAGGGCACCACAAGAACGCGUGGAGCAUGUGGCUUAAUUUGACUCAACGCGGGAAAUCUUACCGGGUCCGGACACACUGAGGAUUGACAGAUAUAUAGUACUUCGCAUACUUUGUGUGUGCGUUGUACUUGAAAGAUGCUAGUUCUUUCAUGAUUAUGUGAUAGGUGGUGCAUGGCCGUUCUUAGUUCGUGGAGUGAUCUGUCUGCUUAAUUGCGUAUCAACAAUAAAAAGGUCUAAUAAUACGCGUAUAUUCUGUUAUGUCGGUUAGUGACCCCCUUUAAUUAGGCGCGUGUCGCACGUAUAACUAUUGUACGCACAGACCUUUGAUAGCAACGAACGUGACCGUACUCUAUUGUUGCAAUGAAUAUAUUUGUGUCUCGGUGCAAAUAUUACCAUUGCUUAGUAUAUGUAUAUUCGUUCACGGAUAUCAUAUACACCAAACUAUAGAGACCGCUGUUUUUUCCUUAAACCAGAGGAAGGAUACGGCAAUAACAGGUCUGUGAUGCCCUCAGAUGUUCCGGGCUGCACACGUGCUACAAUGAUCAUUGCACUGUGCAUCUAACCCAAUGUGCGUUGGAUGGCCACAGGGUGCACACAUUUUGUGUGUGUAUCUUCGUUGGCCGACCACGCCGAACCUACUUCGAAAGUAAAAAUUUCUAACAAUGGGUAAUCCAUUGGAAGUAAUGACUCGCAUAGACCAUGGCACACUUUAUAUGUACGCGCAGGUUCUACCCGGCUUAGCCUUUGUGUUGAGUGCAGUGCGUAACUUGAUGUUUUUUCGUACGUGCCAAUUCCAGUAUUAAUUCAUACGUGGGGAUAGAUCAUUGUUAAUUGUUGGUMUCGGUCUUAGCUACGAAUGCUUUGUUCGGGUCUUUGGUUCAUCAUACCACCCGGAAUACGUCCCUGCCCUUUGUACACACCGCCCGUCGUUUUACCGAUGGAUUAUACUAUGAAUCUAUAGGACUKCCAAAGUAUAUCUCCUCGCAGUGAUUACUUAGUUGAAAUAUAUAUGAAUAGUGUGGUCUAAAGGAAAGAGAAGUCGUAACAAGGCAUCGGUAGGUGAACCU